AUGCAAACAGCGGCAGCUUCCCGAGGCCCCACCGCUUCCUCCCAGCGCGUAGGCCAAUGGGAGAUUUCUCCAGCCAUGUCAAAUGGGGAAAUGAGUAUGGAGAAUUUUGAGGGGAAGGACAUUGAGGCGGAAGGACACUGAAUUUAGGGGCAAGGCUGGGCUGGACAUCCCAUAUGUCAAUUUAAUCCACAUUCCAGUGACCAGAAUUCACAUAGCAAUUUCUGCCACUAAGGACAUGAAUGAAAAAAUUUAAGCAAACUAAAGGUGUGUAUUUGUUCAUUCGCGCACUGCUAUAAAGAAAUACCUGAGACUGGGUAAUUUAUAAAGAAAAGAAGUUAAUUGACUCAGUUCUGCAGGCAAUACAGGAAGCAAGAUGCUGUCAUCCGCUUGGCUUCAGGUCUCCAGCUCACUGAAAACAGCCUCCCCUGAUGAGCACACCAUUGUUAUGUAAUAGCCUAACCCUUACCCCUCGCCUAUCAGGGGGUGCCAAGCCUGCAGACUCACUCUGCUUUCCUCAUAACUGCCCUGAGGAGAAGGCUGAAGACUGAGGAAUCCUCUUUC
RNAcentral lists this long non-coding RNA (561 nucleotides) under Homo sapiens (human). RNAcentral describes it as "non-protein coding lnc-SMOC1-2:3". Lineage: Eukaryota; Metazoa; Chordata; Mammalia; Primates; Hominidae. The record is from RNAcentral.